UGUUAAAAUUGUUUCUUCUAGGGCUGGGGAUGUGGCUCAAGCGGUAGCGCACUUGCCUGGCUUGCAUGCGGCCCGGGUUCGAGCCUCAGCACCACAUACAAAGAUGUUGUGUCCGCCGAAAACUAAGAAAAAUAAAUGUUAAAAUUCUCUCUCUCUCUCUCUCAAUCUCAAUCUCUCUUUAAAAAAAAAUUACUUUCUUCUAAAAUAUUUACAACUAUCUAGUAUUCUAAACCAAACUAUGACUAAUUAUUGAUAUCAAAGUGCCAACCAAAGUCAUUUUAAAUUAAAUAUUUCAUUAAAAAUUUUGUAGAUGAGCCAGGUAUAGUGGCACAUGCCUUGUAAUCCCAGCUAUUCAGGAGGCUGAGGCAUGAGGAUCACAAAUUAAAGUCCAGUCUGGACAAUUUAACAAAACCCUGUCUUGUUAAAAAUGAAAUAAAAAGUGCUGAGGAUGUAACUCAAAGGUAAAGAGCUUGCCUAGUAUGUAUGAGAUCAUGGAUUCAAUCCACAGGACUUAAAAAAAAUUGCAGAUGAAAUUAAGUUUAAUUUAUCAUUUUAUUAAACUAAAUUAUUUGCAAUUCUAGCCUUCAGUAUUCAUCUUGUGGCCAACGUGAAGAAUCUAUUUCACUUCAUGUGUGCUGUGUCCAGACUGACAUGCAUAAAGAUUUAAGAAUAAUAUGAGCUAUUCACUAUAGCAAAAUACUCCUCCAUUCUCAUAUACAGCUAUUCAGAAAACUGUUAAUUCCUAAUUCACAAGUCACUUCUGUAGUCCCUAGAAUCCCUGGGCUAAUUUUUAUAGCCACAAACAUGAAUAGGAAAAGAAGAAUAAAAUGGACACUUGGCACCACUAGAAGAAUCUAUGAGAGAGAAGGUUGGCAUGGCAGAAAAGUUCUUAGGAAGGUGCUUCUAUCAUUCCAAUCACUAAAUACAGAAGCUUUAAGGAUUGCAGUGGCGCCCCCACAAACAAAUCUGGUACUGAGGUGCAGUCACUUUUGCUUCCAGGCUACAGAACAGGGAAGCCUUUGCCAAGGGCCUGCAUGUUACUUGUGCCUGUCUUCCUUGCUUGGGCCUAAUGCUGCAGCUGCAGUGGAUUGAAACAAAGAAACUAAGCCAAUAAAACCUAUGAAAGUAAUAGUUGGAUGCAUUUUAUUUUCUUUCUUCUUCUCUCUCUCUUUUUUUUAAUCAUAAUCAAAUGGUUAUACUGGUGAGAUUUGUUUUCCAUUUUUAGAUCCCAUUGUUUUCCAUUUACUUAUAGUUGCUCCAAAUAAUAUGUUAGUAUAAUUUUCUCUUUCUAAAUGUUCA
This 1299-nucleotide long non-coding RNA is filed under the name Marmota monax (woodchuck). The record is from RNAcentral. Lineage: Eukaryota; Metazoa; Chordata; Mammalia; Rodentia; Sciuridae.